Long non-coding RNA from Lepisosteus oculatus (spotted gar), 2084 nucleotides. Lineage: Eukaryota; Metazoa; Chordata; Actinopteri; Semionotiformes; Lepisosteidae. The record is from Ensembl.
UUAGCAACCAGCCGGACUGUGAAGUGCAAAGUGUCUCUGCUGGGAUUCUGCUGGCCUGAAUAUAAUUUGCUAUUGGACAAAAGGGGUGACACAGCUCACCCCUUGUCUCCAAGCAGUAAAGGUGGUUUCAAAGGCACGGCUGUAAAUUUGAAGUAUGCAUCGGUUUUUGCUCUUGCUGGGGUGGGUUCGCAGACUUUUUUUGCGUUGAGCCAGCGUUUGCUGCAAAUUGUUUGUGAGGUUUGCAGUUACAACAAAAGAAACCUGUACAGCACAGGAGAUGGCGGAGGUCUUUCUCUUCAGGGAACGUCGUGAUCUGAUCACGUUAGGUUUUGUUGCAACGCAAGCGCUACAGAGGACACGCAACAGACAGUGACAUGGGUCCGUGAGCUCAUAGCAAGGGGCACAAAGGAACCAGGAAAAGAAAUCUGAAACGAAUAGAAGUCAGAGCUGAUGUUUUUGGCAGUGAAAGAAGUGAGAGGAAAUACCCCCCAAACUUCCAGAGCCAUGUGGUUUACCUUGAGGAGGAGGUAUUAUAAGGAUUCGUUUCACUUUGCUCUUCCCCACUAUUAAGGCAGUCCUGGGAGACUCACAUCCUGGCUGUCUGGUCUCUUCAACAAACCGCAUUUGCUGAGAGCGGCGUCACAGGAAACUCUCUCCCAGAGAUAGCACAAGAAUCAGCUGUUGAGCUCCGUCUUUAUUUCUGCUUUUUUUUUCGGACUUGCUAUAGUCUCCGGAGCCCGCAGGCGGAGAGGAACAUGGGGCUCGGCUCUCUGAGCGGCCGCGGAAAGAAGAGAUGCGCUCUGAGGGAGCAGGUGAAGAUGUUUGUGAAACGCGUCAGGGGAAAGAGAGACCCCAGUGGCAGGGAGGAGACGGACCCCCUGCUGCCACUGGGAGAGAGCACAGCCCAGCAGCCCUCUGACGUGGAGGCCCAGGUGCAGGCUUGUCUGUGGGACGGCAGGCUGGUCGAGGCGUGUGUCUGUAUCCAGGAGGCAGAGAGGGCAGGGCACGCACCAGCCACCCAGCUGUACGGGGCCGUCAGCUGCCAGGUGCUUGGCAUUCUGGCUGAAGCGCUGUCCGGCAACCCAGCUUGCCUGGAGAGGAUGCCAGCUGCUGUUGAGGCUAUCCUCUGGGGUCAAAAGUGCUGCCUGGACCAGCAGGGGAAAGGACCAAGUUAUGCUCCAGUGAACUGGCGCCAACAGUUCCACCAGCUGGUGGAGAAGUCGGUAUCCAGGAAUAUCCCUCAGCUGCCCAGCCCAGACUCGGGAAGGACACUGCAGGCCUACCUAAGGGAGGUCCAGGUCACUGUGCUGUCUGAGCUGCUCCAGCUUGCUCCCUGCCUCAAGCCCGCCAGGCUGCUGGGCUGCAUCGUCAAGAGCUACAACAAGCACAUCUUCCAGCAGCUGCAGCAGGCGCUGGGCAGGAGCCUGCAAGUGUCCGAGAUCUUCCUGCUCCUGGAGUGGGUGGCGCGUGUUUAUCACAGGUGAGUGAGGGAAGGAAUUUAACUGUGUGGCAAAGCAAGAAUGUGUCUCUUAAUGCAUGACAGGCUCAGCUCCUUCUGAUCCCCCUGGCUCUGGGUGGUUCGUCACCAGCCAAGUAUCUGAUUUCAGAAUGGUCUACUGUGGCCUGUAGCAUGGCCUGAAUUUGUCCAAAUUUGUCUACAAAUUCUCCAGUAGUAUCGUCCCCUUUCACAUCUCCAUUGCUCAGUGGAGACAUUUUCCCAUCACUGCCAGCCAGAGGGACUCCAAGAGCACAGUCACUUGGAACAUACAUGCAUCAGCUUCGGAGUUAAGUUCAUGAAGUCAUCAUUGCUAGUCCUAGACUGUUUUGACUGAUGGAUCAAGAACUACCGGUACUGCAAAGAAUAUGUUUUUAUCAUGGUGUUCUUUGAACAGCAAAACUGUUCAUUACUUUUUAAGAUGCCUUGGGGGAUGUGAGUUCAUGCCCAAACCAAAGAAAAAGAAUGCAUACCCAAAAUUAUCGAGGUGCUAUCCAGUAAAAAUACAUUAAAGGAGCAAACUCAAUCAGGCACACACUUUCUCCACUCUAAAAAUAAUGUACUUAUAAGCACUUAUCAGUACUUUGCC